AUUUUGAAAAGAUACCUCCUCAGUGACAGCUUUUGUACCUUUUGUUCUAAGAGUGUAGAGGAGUGAGGAAUUGAGUAAUGACUGUGCUGUGAGAAUAUAUAGCAUGUGUUAUAUGACUAAUAGUAAUGACACCAGCUCAUUAUGCAAACUUGCGUGGAGACACUAAAUGUGUUUUGAAUGCAAAAUGGACCUGUGUUGCUGCAAAACCACACAAAAGAAGAUUACUUUGCUCAGAGAGUGGAAGACUUGUGAUCUUGAAGCAUCAGCUUGGUCGAACACCAGUAGCUGCUCAAAUCAACUGUCCUGAAAACCACAGAGUGACCGUGAUGCUGUUUCAUCUUAUCUUCAUGUCACUGGUUUGCUCAGGGCUGUCAGUGGAGAGCUAUGGAAGAGACUUCAUCACGGCAUUCCCAGAAAACACUGCCUACUACCAUCCACAGGAGUCCUCCAACACGCUCCAAAUUACUGCUUUCUACGACAACACCCUCGUCUCAAUCACCAUCAACUACAUAAAAGUGUUUUAUGAUAAGCUACAAUCUGGGCAGACUAAAAUUGUGCAUUUUCCCAAGUACAUCGAGGAAUAUCAGUUCACAAACUUCCCUCUUUUUGUCAGAGUCAACAGCACCCAAAUGAUUGUGGUGCUUUGGCUCAGUCAGCGUGGGGACAGCGUGCAGUCUAAUGUUGUUCAACCUGUUAAAAAUCUCGGAAAGUGGUAUUCAAUCCCAUUUAUCAAUUACAAUCAGAUGAUUGCAUCCUUGUACAAUAUGUCAGAUCAGUUAGCUCCAGACAACUGGAGAUACAAUUCGUUCAGGCUGAUCAUUAUCAAUGCUGAGAACUCCGUUAACUUAAUCACCGUCCGAAGUAUCAGUCCGGAUGGUCCAAAAGCAUUUAAUAUUACGCUCAGGCCUUACGAACUUUACCAGUUACAAACUAACGGUUCGGAAAUUCAGUUGGACUCUUAUGGCACUGUGGCUGUGCUGUUAACCCACCCGUGUGUAGAAACUACAGGAUGUGAUUGCAAUAUGGUGGUGAGCCACGUUCUCCCCCGAAAUCUGUGGGGUGACAGGUUUGUUGUGCCGCAGGUGAAGAACCUGAAUACAGCUUGGCUGCAAGUGACUAACACAACGAAAGUAAGGCUGAAAGGCGUGAAUAUAAAAACUCAGCAGUCCAAUUCCUCAGAGCUAAUUCCCUUCCCGGAGCUCAAGAGUGCGUCUCAGCUGAUCAGUUCGACAAAUAAGGUGUCCAUCAGACUUAUAAGUCCAGGCCUCAUCAUAGAACUCAUACCAGAAACCAUGUUCGCCGCUUGUUACCUGGUUCAGAUGAACUUGAUAGAAGGUGAGGCCGUUAUUAUCGCUGAAACAGCCCGUAAGAACAAUGUGUAUAUAGAUGGCAAAUUACUUAAAUUCACUAACUGGAAACCCAUUCCCUAUUCAAACUACUCUUCGAUAUCUGUGUCGCUAAGUGGCACACAUGUCAUCUGGCAUCCAACCUCCAGGAUUGGAGUGUACAUGUUUGAGAAGAUGGAGGGUGGAAUUCCUUACGGAAGCCAAGCUGUCAUUUUAAAUGAUGACCCAGAUCGUGAUGGCUGUGUCGCAGAUUCUGCACAUUAUAAGAUCACUACUGAUGUCAUGACAUGGCCCGAGUCCCAUCAUUACUGCUUAAAUAUAUCUUACCAGCUGAGCACACCAAGCAGCGAAAUGGCCCAAAAAGAGAUGACCAACUUUCUGCAAAACAACAGAGGUCCUGGGUAUCUCUGGAUCGGUCUGCGGCGCAGUCUUUUCACGUCAGAGUGGUACUGGCAGAAAGGCAAUGACAGCAAAUACAGCGUGAGCUUCACGAAGUGGGCAGAUGGGCAUCCAGACAUUCCCCAGAAAGCGUUGUGUGCUGCUGUGUCCCAAGAUGCCAACAAGGAGUUUACCUGGAAGAGUGUGUCCUGUUGCUCUAAGCUUAGGCCCAUCUGCUACAAACAGGGCAAAUACUUCAGUGAUAUGACCUUUAAUACACCAUAUGAUCAUUUUAGCAUUACUUACCCAAAGGACUUUCCUUUUUGUCCAAAUUCUUGACCUUUUAUUUGAAAUUAGUAACUGCAAUAAUAAAUCACAUCACAAUAGUUUAAUCAUGAUUUUAAGUAAAAUUAAUCAAAUUGCUUAAUUAUAAAAAGCUGUCUAUUACAUAGCUGUUACUUUAUAGUAUUGUUGUUUUUAUGUGCAUAAUAUAAAGCAAUAUUAACAUUUCAAUAUGGAUCUUCUGAAAACACAAUGAAAGUAUAUAUAUAUAUAUAUAUAUAUAUAUAUAU
This is a long non-coding RNA of Cyprinus carpio carpio, 2296 nucleotides long. The record is from Ensembl. Lineage: Eukaryota; Metazoa; Chordata; Actinopteri; Cypriniformes; Cyprinidae.